Molecule: unclassified non-coding RNA, 247 nt
Filed under: Glomus sp.
Lineage: Eukaryota; Fungi; Glomeromycota; Glomeromycetes; Glomerales; Glomeraceae
Description: partial contains 5.8S ribosomal RNA and internal transcribed spacer 2
Rfam family: 5.8S ribosomal RNA (bases 1-65)
Source: RNAcentral
GUGAAUCAUCGAAUUUUUGAACGCAAAUUGCACUCUCUUCGGAGAGUAUGCCUGUUUGAGGGUCAGCCUAAAAAAAAUCGACAUCGUUGCUGUUUCGCGGUGGCAUUCGUCGGAAAUUGGUUUAUCUUUAAUCUUUGGUUUAAGCAACUUAAAAUUUACGUUACGAUUCCAUGAACGUUUCCAAGAGUUAUUUUUUUAUAAGUUUAAGGUAUCGAAUUUAUUAGGCGUGGACGUAAUAUCGGAUCAU